Molecule: regulatory RNA element, 134 nt
Organism: Paenibacillus sp. HGF7
Lineage: Bacteria; Bacillati; Bacillota; Bacilli; Caryophanales; Paenibacillaceae
Rfam family: c-di-AMP riboswitch aptamer (ydaO/yuaA leader)
About the family: This family represents a conserved RNA structure found upstream of the ydaO and yuaA genes in Bacillus subtilis and related genes in other bacteria. The ydaO/yuaA element is thought to act as a genetic "off" switch for the ydaO and yuaA genes in its native state.
Source: Rfam
UUCAUCUGCGCGCUUAAUUCUCGUAAGAGAAGCGGGGGACCCACGAACUGGGGUGAAUCGGAAUGUUUUUUUCCGUAGGGGCCUCUCAAAUCCGAACCCGGCAGCUAACCUCGCAAGCGUCAUUGGGAGAAAAG